AAUCAGAUGCUUCUGAGGAACCUAAAUGUAAGUAAAUUGUACCCUGUGUUUUAUCCUCGUUUAAAUGUUGAAUGAACAUGAUGGUUUUAGGCUUUUCCAGAAAACACACAUAGCAUAAUAUAUUGGCACAAUUGGGAUUCAGAGGUCAUUAGAAAUUCUAGGUAGAAUUAUCAUGAAGAUUCAAUUACCUCUUGUUUCUUGACAAGGUUGAUUACUAGGCUGUGGUCAAAGUUGUUUAGAAAAAUGUGAAGUGCAGCUUCUUUCCUCUCUGCUUGACAUCUUUGGGCAAAUCAAAUUCUGAUUUCCAUUUUCUAUCAAUAUUUUAAAAGAUAGCUUAGUAAAUAGACUUAUAAUAUAUUGAAUAGAAAUUUUUAAGUAUACCUAAGUCUAAAUAUAUUAAAUUUAUUUUAAAAUAUGUGAACAAAUCUUGUAGUAUAGUACCCUAAAAGAACAGUGCAUUUUAUAUCACACCCAUACUUCAUUAGAUGAAGUCAAUAUUUACAAAAUAUUUGUCAAAUCUAAAUAAAAAGCCAAAUUAUAUGUAUCAUAAAUGGUUGACUUGGUUAUCAAAAUUUAUUUGUAAGCCAACAGGUAUAAUUUUAUUCAAUAAUUUUCUGAUAAAUUGGUUAAAUGAAUUUCACUUAAAAGAAACUUUAUUUUGAUUUGUAAAGGUUGUUUAUUAUUUAAAAUUUCUCAUACAAUAUCUUUUGAUUAUGUUUUCUCCUCUCUUCUCCUCAUUUCCCUAACCACUCAGCUUCAUGUUCGGUCUUUCUCGAAAUCAAAACAAAAGAGAAAAUCAAAAUAAACAAACAGCAACAAAACCAGUAAGACAAAAAAUAAAGUCCAAAUGAACCUGAAGGAAACAAAAAUUCCACAACAUUCUAUGGUGCUUAUUUGUGUUGGUCAACUUCUGUGCGUGGAGCCCUCCCUAGAAUGUGCAGACAUACCUACCUUGUCAUACUUCAUUGCAGAAAGCUGAUUUUCCCUUUCCUAGCAGGCAUCAAUUUCUGAUAGCCUUUUGGUUAAGGCUGGGACUUCAUUGUCUCCAUUUCUACUCUUCAGUGAUGGAAUUUUGUCUGGCUUCAACCUGUGCAGGUCUUGGGCAGUCAGCCACAAUUUGUGAGUUCAUAUGUGCAUCAGUUCUACUGUGCCUGGAAGAAAACAUUUCCUUCGAGUCAUCUAUCACCUCUGGCUCACAUGAUCAUUCUGCCUCUUCUUCAGCGUAGAUCUCUGAGGCUCAAAGGGAGGGCUUUGGUGAAGACAUAUGUUUAGAAUUGAGUGCUUCAAAACCUCUCACUCUCUGUACAUUGUUCAAUGUGAGCAUCUGUGUUAAUUGUCACUGCAAGAAGAAGCUUGGUGAAGGGUAAGCAAUAUACUUAUCUAUGAGUAUAACAUUAUGUUAUUAUGGGUCAUUUUAUUGCUGUUUCUUUAGCAAAAUAAUAGUAAUAAACAGCUUUGCUCUAGGCCUGUGUACUAUCUAAUCUUAGGUUAUUUGGCAUCUUAACAGUGUCGGGUAUGUGUUUCAUCUCACGGACUGGACCUUAAGUCUAUGGAGUAAAAUGAUUGUUUACUCUCAUCAUACUUGUGCCACGAUUACACCAGUGUAUCCCAUAGGAAGGUCAUGGUAGUAGAUCACAGGAUUUGUAGCUAGGAGAUAUUGAUACUGUAAAGUAACUUCCAGUCCAUGAAUCCUGGCUAGGAAAGUUGAAGGUUUAAGGUACACACCAGCUCAACUUCUAUAUAAUCUAUUAAGAUCAGUGAAGAUGUUUUAUUUAAACUUGGAAGCUUAUUAUCAGUUUGUUGUGAUUAUCAAAAGAUAAAUGAAUAUUAGUCUUUGCAUCUAAGAAAUUUUGGUCAUGAAACUUUCUCUUGGCAAUUCUGUUUAAGACUUAUGGAAAGUCCAAGUAAAACUGAUAGAUGUGACAAAAAUUUCUGUGUUCAUUCUAUGUACAAGCUUCUACAUUCUCUUAUGUUUUGCCAUUUUAGAUAUUGGAUCAGAGCACUGCAGGUUGGGUAACUAAUCGAGAACAGAAAUUUAUUUUUCACAGACUUAAAAACUGGAAGUCUGACAUCAGGAUGUAGGCAUGUUAGAUUCUGCUGAGGGUUGCAGACCAUUGUGUUCUUCUUGUAUUUCUCCUGAAAGAAGCACUUUCCAGAGUUUCUUAUAUAGAAGAACUAAUACUAUUCAGAAAGGGCCCUUCUAUUUGAUAUAGUUACUACCCAAGACCUUUACUCUGAAUACCAUCACACAGAGGAAGAUGAAAUUUCAGCUUGGGAAUUCUAAGGUUCAUAAACAUUUGGCCCAUUGCCUUAACCCAUCAGACUCUAAUGAAAUAUACAAUGUCAUUUCUGAGCUUUCUCCUUUGCAAAAUCCUUGAGUUGACAUAGCAGAGGUUUUACUUGGCUUACAAAUUUGCAAAAUCAUCAUCAUUACAUCAUUGAAAGCAAGCACUACUGUUAACGGUCUGAGUCAGGUAGACUUUGGGAAUAACUGAAUAAGAAUGAACAUCUUUUGAUAUAAUUUCUAAAAAUUAGCAAGAUUUCUCAAGAAUAUUCAUAGCUAAAGAUUAAGUAACAUUAAUUGUGUUGUCAUAUUUAUCAAAUUCUGUGUAAAACAAUUUACAUCUGGUGACCAAGUACAUCUCUGUUGACAUUUCAGUUUUGAAGUGUUUCAGUUGCAUUACUUUAGCCUACAUGCCGCUCAACUAUAGGAUAUUGGAAACAUUUAUUUCAGUCUAAAAAUGUGAGUCAUACUCAUUUUUGGAAAUAAAAACCUUGAGUAGUCAUUUGAAAAUUAAUCUACUUGGCAGUUCAGCAUCUCAUCUUGGUGGACUAUUUCAGGAAGCUAGGUACAGAGGACAUGGUGUCAUUUCUGGAGCUGGCUGACAUUGGGCAACCAAGUUGCAUAGGGUUGUUUCUUUAAACACACAAAAAAAUGUAACAUGGGCGUGCUAUGUACUUCUUUGGCACUUCUAAAUAUUAGCUCAUGUCAAACUAAAAUAUAUCACCUCAAGC
Molecule: long non-coding RNA, 3015 nt
Filed under: Mus musculus (house mouse)
Lineage: Eukaryota; Metazoa; Chordata; Mammalia; Rodentia; Muridae
Description: long non-coding RNA chr1:104776113-104779128
Source: RNAcentral